This 73-nucleotide transfer RNA is filed under the name Chara vulgaris. RNAcentral's name for it is "tRNA-Thr". It matches the Rfam family "tRNA". From Rfam's summary of the family: Transfer RNA (tRNA) molecules are approximately 80 nucleotides in length. RNAcentral also lists the same sequence under 1 other name. Lineage: Eukaryota; Viridiplantae; Streptophyta; Charophyceae; Charales; Characeae. The record is from RNAcentral.
GCCUACUUAGCUCAGAGGACAGAGCGUUGCACUUGUAAUGCAAUGGUCAUCGGUUCAACUCCGAUAGUAGGCU